AUUGAACGCUGGCGGCAUGCCUUACACAUGCAAGUCGAACGGUAACGGGCCUUCGGGUGCUGACGAGUGGCGAACGGGUGAGUAAUACAUCGGAACGUGCCCGAUCGUGGGGGAUAACGAGGCGAAAGCUUUGCUAAUACCGCAUACGAUCUACGGAUGAAAGCAGGGGACCGCAAGGCCUUGCGCGGACGGAGCGGCCGAUGGCAGAUUAGGUAGUUGGUGGGAUAAAAGCUUACCAAGCCGACGAUCUGUAGCUGGUCUGAGAGGAUGAUCAGCCACACUGGGACUGAGACACGGCCCAGACUCCUACGGGAGGCAGCAGUGGGGAAUUUUGGACAAUGGGCGCAAGCCUGAUCCAGCCAUGCCGCGUGCAGGAUGAAGGCCUUCGGGUUGUAAACUGCUUUUGUACGGAACGAAAAGCCUUCCUUUAAUACAGGAGGGUCAUGACGGUACCGUAAGAAUAAGCACCGGCUAACUACGUG
RNAcentral lists this ribosomal RNA (482 nucleotides) under uncultured bacterium. Its description in RNAcentral is "partial 16S ribosomal RNA". It matches the Rfam family "Bacterial small subunit ribosomal RNA", at positions 30 to 507 of the family's 1533-position model. The record is from RNAcentral.